This 230-nucleotide long non-coding RNA is filed under the name Lathyrus oleraceus (garden pea). RNAcentral describes it as "Pisum sativum (pea) long non-coding RNA (PSAT_LNC022934)". Lineage: Eukaryota; Viridiplantae; Streptophyta; Magnoliopsida; Fabales; Fabaceae. The record is from RNAcentral.
GACUUUCUGGGAAGAUCCUUCGCAAUAAGCAAUAGUAAGUAGAGUGAUCAUUUCAUCCAUUACCACUAUUUAUCAUUACCUCAUCCAACUAUAAUACCAAGAACCUGAAAUACAUGCAACACAUGAUACCCGACAAUAAAAAUAAAUCAAAUGUUAAUGGUAAAAAAUUGGGAACUAAUCAAAUAAAACAUAAAACAAAACAAAAAUAAAUGUAAAAAGCAUAGGAAAAC